This 392-nucleotide ribosomal RNA is filed under the name uncultured Planctomycetales bacterium. RNAcentral's name for it is "bacterial SSU rRNA". It matches the Rfam family "Bacterial small subunit ribosomal RNA", at positions 375 to 757 of the family's 1533-position model. Lineage: Bacteria; Pseudomonadati; Planctomycetota; Planctomycetia; Planctomycetales. The record is from RNAcentral.
CCGAAAGGGUGACGAAGCGACGCCGCGUGGGUGAGGAAGGCCUUCGGGUUGUAAAGCCCUGUCAGGAGUUAAGAAAUGUAAGUGCGCUAAUAUCGCAUUUAUUUGACGAAGGCUCCAAAGGAAGUCACGGCUAACUCUGUGCCAGCAGCCGCGGUAAUACAGAGGUGGCAAGCGUUGUUCGGAAUUAUUGGGCGUAAAGAGCACGUAGGUGGGUUUGUAAGUCAGAUGUGAAAGCCUUCUGUUCAACGGAAGAAUUGCAUCUGAAACUGCGAGUCUUGAGUGUAGGAGGGGAGAAUGGAACUUCUGGUGGAGCGGUGAAAUGCGUAGAUAUCAGAAGGAACGCCGGCGGCGAAAGCGAUUCUCUGGCCCAUUACUGACACUCAGUGUGCGAA